This 1148-nucleotide long non-coding RNA is filed under the name Ananas comosus (pineapple). RNAcentral's name for it is "long non-coding RNA (ACOM_LNC017441)". The record is from RNAcentral. Lineage: Eukaryota; Viridiplantae; Streptophyta; Magnoliopsida; Poales; Bromeliaceae.
CUCAAUUCUGUGCAGAUCUAAAGAAUAACUUAUUCCAAUUAAUCUUAGAUAAUUAACUCUCCCAUCCUAAUUAACUCUCUCAAUUAACUCUCCCAACUGUCUUCUCUAGUUAAUUGUCAAUUAACCCUUGUACAGCACCCCUCCUCGUCCCCUUCCUCCGGCACCGGCAGCACCCGCCUCGACCACCAUCGCCACUCCAAACCCCGAGGACCCUGCGCCUCUCUGAGAUCAUCCCAAAUAAAUUAAUAUUCAAAUAAACAAAUAAAUAAAUAAAUAUAUCACUACAUGAAGAACAAGAAGGCGAAAAUGGAGCCCCCAUGAACAUAAUGUAAGCUAUAUUUUGGUCGAUUAUUUUGAAAUUUUUGCUCUGUAACUCCUUUUCAGCUGCAUGAAUGAAAAGUGAAUUUCGUUUUUUUCUCUCUAAUCCGCAUUAUCUUAAUUUCAUUUAUGAUUCUAGUGAGGUGACCUGCUACAUUUUUACCAAGAACUAAACAGAAAAAAUGGUGAAUCAAAAUAAAACGAAAAAUCGCAUCGUUAUUAUUAGUACUAUUAAUUGUACCCGGACGAAGAUGGGGAUGAUGGAGGCGGCGGCGAGGAGUUCCCCGUGGUUCCUCCUCCGUCCAUCUCCUCUCUCUUUCUCUCUCUACACUCUCUUUCUUUCUCUCUCUUCUUUUUGGUGAGUGGUGGUCGUGUUUGUCUCCGUUUUGUCUUGAGGAGGAGGACGACGAGAGUGACGGAGGAGGAGGAUGACGAGAGCAAUGAGAGGGGUUGUGUUGGAGGUGGAGGUGUGGGAGGUGGUGGUGGUCUGGGAGGAGAUGAGGCAAGGUGGAGGCGGAGGAGCCAGUGUUCAAGUUGAAAGAGAAAGAGGAUAAUUUAAGAAAUUAGCAUAAUAAAGUAGGGGUAAAAUAGGUAUUUUAUAUAAAUUUUAACUCUAGUAUGUAUUUAAUCCAUGUUUAAUCCGAGUUAAGUUAACAGGAAAUAACUGCGGGAAUAUUUUGGAAUAACGGUGGAAUAUAUGAAGGGCAUUUUAAAAAAAAAAAAAAAGUAGGAAUAGAUCGAAUAUUUUCAGACGCAUGAGGGAUAUAUAGGCAAUUAUUCCUAAAAAAUUUGAAAGGUCUAGUUUUGGAAUAAAGUUUUAAUUUGAAGAG